RNAcentral lists this ribosomal RNA (520 nucleotides) under uncultured bacterium. Its description in RNAcentral is "bacterial SSU rRNA". It matches the Rfam family "Bacterial small subunit ribosomal RNA", at positions 120 to 674 of the family's 1533-position model. The record is from RNAcentral.
GGGAACAUACCCUUUUCUACGGAAUAGCUCUGGGAAACUGGAAUUAAUACCGUAUACGCCCUACGGGGGAAAGAUUUAUCGGGGAAGGAUUGGCCCGCGUUGGAUUAGCUAGUUGGUGGGGUAAAGGCCUACCAAGGCGACGAUCCAUAGCUGGUCUGAGAGGAUGAUCAGCCACAUUGGGACUGAGACACGGCCCAAACUCCUACGGGAGGCAGCAGUGGGGAAUAUUGGACAAUGGGCGCAAGCCUGAUCCAGCCAUGCCGCGCGAGUGAUGAAGGCCUUAGGGUCGUAAAGCUCUUUCACCGAUGAAGAUAAUGACGGUAGUCGGAGAAGAAGCCCCGGCUAACUUCGUGCCAGCAGCCGCGGUAAUACGAAGGGGGCUAGCGUUGUUCGGAAUUACUGGGCGUAAAGCGCACGUAGGCGGAUAUUUAAGUCAGGGGUGAAAUCCCAGAGCUCAACUCUGGAACUGCCUUCGAUACUGGGUAUCUUGAGUAUGGAAGAGGUAAGUGGAAUUGCGAGU